CUAGCGGCUCCUCUCGACCUCCUCGCCAUGGACACUGACGACUCCCAGGCCCCUAAGGGCUCCUUGCGGAAGUUCCUGGAGCACCUCUCCGGGGCCGGCAAGGCAGUCGGCGUGCUGACCAGAGGCGAGGAUGCUCAAGGACCCAAGGAUUGAGAACAAUGGACUUUUUGAUGUGUGUUGCAAAUUGGAGGGAUCACCAGGUCUGCCCACCAGCCAGGAGGGAAGUGGGGAGAAGCUCUCACCCUAACUUGAGUUUUAAGAAGGCUCCUUGGAAGAAAAGACCACCAAAUUGAGAAUGAAAGGUAAGAAAUAGUUCACCAGCUGAGGGGGGCUACGGGAGUCAGAGAGCAGGCCACCCACGAGCCCCAGGGACACCAGCACAGGCAGGUUGUCAAAGUCACAAGGGGACAUGAAGACACGGGCCCAGGACAGCAGCUCUUAAUCCAGAAUGGUCUCAAGGCUCCUUUACACUCUGAAAAAUUAACCCAUUUAUGCCUGAGGUUGCAAUUUUUUUUGUAAAAAUUCAGACCUUGGCAAUGACCUUGAGCUGUAGGAUACAAAUAACUCCCACAAGCUUAGGAUUCCAAUAAUGGAACACGAGGCAUAAAAGGGUUUUAAUGAGGACCCAAGCAGCUUUUGAUUAUGUGGGCUUUUUUGCCUGUGUAGGUGCCUGUGUGUGUUUAUAUAAUUUUUCUAUAUUCUAAAUUAAAGCUGAGACAUUUACAAACUACUUAUGCAUUAAGGUAAGCCAUCAUUACAUGAUAAUAUAAAUAUGUUUGAAAAAUAUUUCUCAUAACAAAGUAAAAAACUGACUACUUAGAGUGAUGCUGUGUUGCCUUUUUUGCAAACCUCUGUAGUGUCUGGGUCAGAGGUGAAGCUGGACUCCCCCAUCUGCUCUGUAUGCAGCUUGGUGCGUGUCACACACCUCGCCACGCAGCCUCUAGAAAGUACACCAUGUACUUGGGCAAGAAUGAGUGAAAAAGACAAUGUGUUGAUAGUGGUAUGAAAAGAGCUUUUCUCUCGCUGCAGAUCAUACACGGGGGUCGUCAGACAUGGUCUGAGACAGCAUCCUGGCCCCGCUAAUCCCCUGGCUUCUGCUCACAGCACUGACCUAGCUAAUCCAAGAACAUGUCACCUAUAAUGAGAAUAUUAUAUAAAAAUCAACCACCUUA
Molecule: non-coding RNA, 1172 nt
Organism: Chlorocebus sabaeus (green monkey)
Lineage: Eukaryota; Metazoa; Chordata; Mammalia; Primates; Cercopithecidae
Source: RefSeq, a predicted model, not a curated record